This 463-nucleotide ribosomal RNA is filed under the name uncultured organism. Its description in RNAcentral is "bacterial SSU rRNA". It matches the Rfam family "Bacterial small subunit ribosomal RNA", at positions 28 to 507 of the family's 1533-position model. The record is from RNAcentral.
GACGAACGCUGGCGGCGCGCCUAACACAUGCAAGUCGAGCGGAGAAUAUAAGCAAUUAUAUUUUUAGCGGCGGACGGGUGAGUAACGCGUGGGCAAUCUACCUUUCAGAGGGGGAUAACACAGGGAAAUCUGUGCUAAUACCGCAUGAGACCACACAGUAGCAUUACUGAGUGAUCAAAGGAGCAAUCCGCUGAGAGAUGAGCCCGCGUCUGAUUAGCUAGUUGGUGGGGUAAUGGCCCACCAAGGCGACGAUCAGUAGCCGAACUGAGAGGUUGAUCGGCCACAUUGGGACUGAGACACGGCCCAGACUCCUACGGGAGGCAGCAGUGGGGAAUAUUGCGCAAUGGGGGAAACCCUGACGCAGCGACGCCGCGUGGAGGAUGAAGGUCUUCGGAUUGUAAACUCUUGUCGACAGGGACGAGUGAGGACGGUACCUGUGGAGGAAGCCCCGGCUAACUACGUG